Molecule: long non-coding RNA, 554 nt
Organism: Sus scrofa (pig)
Lineage: Eukaryota; Metazoa; Chordata; Mammalia; Artiodactyla; Suidae
Source: RefSeq, a predicted model, not a curated record
UCCAAGUGAAGCCAAUAGUCAGUCCGUUUCUCCAAGGCAAGGACUGAUGACGUUUCUCUCCCAGCGCCUAUUGAAACAAAGCCACUUACAGAGAAUGUUGAUUUUCAGCGUUGCCUCAGUGAAUUAAGUUUUGUUCCACGUCCAUGCUCAUGGAGGAGAGUUGACUCUGAAGAGGCAAGACUUGUGGUUUGGUUACAUACGAUUAGAGAUUCUGAGAGAAGCCUUUGUGAAGAUUCCUGCUAGCCAUUGUGAGGAUUGGAAAUGUGGAUGAGAGCCUUGCCAAGUUUAUGAGCCAAGAAAUAGCUGAAUUAUAAUGGCUGGAACUUCAAAGAGAAAGAAGAGUGAAAGGUAUUAAAAUAUUUUUGUAAAAAUCCCUGACUCUUGAAAUCAGCCAGGGCUGAUCGAUCUGAGACUAACAUAGUAAAUUUUAUGGAUAGGCCAGGGAGGGGGCUGAAUAUCUGGUGAUAAGAAGGUGCCCCCAGGUGGAGCCUUCUUGCCUAGUUAUUCUCAAUCUCUGGGGGGAAAAUGUGGCUAUAAGGGAGAAACAUGUCAGA